RNAcentral lists this ribosomal RNA (441 nucleotides) under uncultured Thiobacillus sp. Its description in RNAcentral is "bacterial SSU rRNA". It matches the Rfam family "Bacterial small subunit ribosomal RNA", at positions 940 to 1382 of the family's 1533-position model. The record is from RNAcentral. Lineage: Bacteria; Pseudomonadati; Pseudomonadota; Betaproteobacteria; Nitrosomonadales; Thiobacillaceae.
UGUUGGUUAAUUCGACGCAACGCGCAGAACCUUACCUAGACUUGACAUCCCGGGAUUUUCUGGAAACAGAGAAGUGCUUUAGCAAUAAAGAACCCGGUGACAGGUGCUGCAUGGUUGUCGUCAGCUCGUGUCGUGAGAUGUUGGGUUAAGUCCCGCAACGAGCGCAACCCUUAUCAUUAGUUGCUACGCAAGGGCACUCUAAUGAGACUGCCGGUGACAAACCGGAGGAAGGUGGGGAUGACGUCAAGUCCUCAUGGCCCUUAUGGGUAGGGCUUCACACGUCAUACAAUGGUCGGUACAGAGGGUUGCCAAGCCGCGAGGCGGAGCCAAUCCCACAAAGCCGAUCGUAGUCCGGAUUGUUCUCUGCAACUCGAGAGCAUGAAGUCGGAAUCGCUAGUAAUCGCAGGUCAGCAUACUGCGGUGAAUACGUUCCCGGGUCUU